AAUGAACGCUGGCGGCAGGCCUAACACAUGCAAGUCGAGCGAAGUCUUCGGACUUAGCGGCGGACGGGUGAGUAACGCGUGGGAACGUGCCCUUUGCUUCGGAAUAGCCCCGGGAAACUGGGAGUAAUACCGAAUGUGCCCUUCGGGGGAAAGAUUUAUCGGCAAAGGAUCGGCCCGCGUUGGAUUAGGUAGUUGGUGGGGUAAUGGCCUACCAAGCCGACGAUCCAUAGCUGGUUUGAGAGGAUGAUCAGCCACACUGGGACUGAGACACGGCCCAGACUCCUACGGGGUGCAGCAGUGGGGAAUCUUAGACAAUGGGCGCAAGCCUGAUCUAGCCAUGCCGCGUGAUCGAUGAAGGCCUUAGGGUUGUAAAGAUCUGUCAGUGGGGAAGAUAAUGACGGUACCCACAGAAGAAGCCCCGGCUAACUCCGUGCCAGCCGCCGCAGUAA
RNAcentral lists this ribosomal RNA (449 nucleotides) under uncultured bacterium. RNAcentral describes it as "partial 16S ribosomal RNA". It matches the Rfam family "Bacterial small subunit ribosomal RNA", at positions 29 to 523 of the family's 1533-position model. The record is from RNAcentral.